CUGAUGUCAAGUUAAGGCAUUUUUGAUUAGGUGGAAAAUAGGGGAAAAGGGGGAUAGAAAUUCUUGGACCUUUCAUCAGUGCCCAGAAUCCCUGGGCGCCUAUGCUUUAGAAGUCUUCUUCACAACAAUCCCCCAAAUCCAGUUGGCGUCCGUUCUCCUGCAGCACCGCACCCUUCUUUCUAUUCUUAUUACCACCACCUUAGUUUUGGGCUCCAUCACCUCAUAACUGGAUUAUUAGAAGGGCCUCCUAACCACACCCGGGGCCCCUGUCUUCCAUACCCCAUCCCCACCAUUUGUGCUUUGCUAUAAGCUGCAUAGGCCUAAUGUCACUGGUCCCCCGCUAAGAAGCUCUCAAAGGUUCCUCGCUCCCUGUGGAAUGAAGUCCAAAUUCUUAACUGUGGCUUUCUCUAUGCCCUCCCCCAGGGCCUGCUUUCUUGGUUUUCCUGCUUCAGCACUUCUUCACUCAUACCUCAGCCAGACGAGACGAUGUGUUACACACUAAACAUUUCUCACUGCCUUCACGCCAGCUUCUAAGGCAUAUCCUGAGCCAGGCAGAGUCCAGAUAAAAUGUACUUUGGUCAAGUAUUUGUUUUGGGUACUUUGUCAUCCAACCUUCAUCGUCCUCCAGCAGUUCCUCAUACCUUUCGUAGCCCAGCCCAUGUUCUGUUCUUGUUCUCAGCUGGUUAUCAAGUAAUCCUUACUAAAACGUUGGAGCAUUAACUGCUAAGGCCAAUGUGGUGAUGUUGCCUUCAUUCAGUACACAUGGCAGCUGGUUUGCAGAAAGAAUCUCUAGGAGUGGGUUUCCUGAGAAGGGCACUGUGAGGAGACCCUGUGAAGCUGAGGAAAGUGAGCAUCACGACCAGGAGGAAAAAUAUCAAGAAGCAGCACUUCACUUCCCUUUUAGUUUCUUCAUUUUCUCAUCGUUCACAUUAUUAUUUCUUUGGGGUGUGGCACCUGUGAGGUGCCAUAAAUUUUCGUAAUGAAAUUGAAAGUAAAGUCCAACUACGGUUCAUAAGAUCUAGUAUAAUUUAUUUUUAAACUCUUUUUGAACAUAUGAUGAGCCGGUCUAUUACUGGCAUUGCCAUGGAAUAGACAGCUGUAUAAGAAAAAAUGUUUUCAUUCACUGUAAAAAUGAAAUGGAAGUUUCCACCGUAGCACUAGGGCACCCUCUUAGCCAAUGAAAUGAUAAUCCAGGAAUCAGAAUCACUCUUUCCCACAUUCUUCAUUUCAACAAGAAAACACCUGGAUAAGUAUACAGUGUGACAUUGAGAGCCCUUGAUUUGAGAUACUCUGCGGUGUCAAUAACAGGUGAAGACUUUUUAGUUAACAGUUUAAGAGUUGAUGCUAAAUGACCCUGUAAUCUUAAGUAUUUAUACAGCAAAAAUAAAUGUUAUUUGUGAAGCACAUUAGAGAUUAAUAUAAAAUAUGUGUGUCAUUUGCAUCUUCG
RNAcentral lists this long non-coding RNA (1447 nucleotides) under Equus asinus (donkey). RNAcentral's name for it is "lncRNA (ENSEASG00005024449.1)". Lineage: Eukaryota; Metazoa; Chordata; Mammalia; Perissodactyla; Equidae. The record is from RNAcentral.